This 300-nucleotide ribosomal RNA is filed under the name uncultured Desulfurococcus sp. RNAcentral describes it as "partial 16S ribosomal RNA". The stretch from base 52 to 300 matches the Rfam family "Bacterial small subunit ribosomal RNA", at positions 547 to 795 of the family's 1533-position model. Lineage: Archaea; Thermoproteati; Thermoproteota; Thermoprotei; Desulfurococcales; Desulfurococcaceae. The record is from RNAcentral.
GCGAAAGAGGGGGAGGGGUCCGGGUUAGGAGGUGGGGUGGGUGGGUGGUGCGGAAUUUGUGGGCGGAGAGGGGUCGGAGGAGGUCUGUAGCGGCGGGAGGGAAAACUCAGGGCGUAACCCGGAGCCUGCUUCCGGUACGGGCAGACUAGAGGUAUGCAGGGGAGAAUGGAAUUCCUGGUGGAGCGGUGAAAUGCGCAGAUAUCAGGAGGAACACCGGUGGCGAAGGCGGUUCUCUGGGCAUUACCUGACGCUGAGGAGCGAAAGUGUGGGGAGCGAACAGGAUUAGAUACCCGGGUAGUC